AGCGAACGCUGGCGGCAGGCUUAACACAUGCAAGUCGAACGGGCGUAGCAAUACGUCAGUGGCAGACGGGUGAGUAACGCGUGGGAACGUGCCUUUUGGUUCGGAACAACUGAGGGAAACUUCAGCUAAUACCGGAUAAGCCCUUACGGGGAAAGAUUUAUCGCCAAAAGAUCGGCCCGCGUCUGAUUAGCUAGUUGGUGAGGUAAUGGCUCACCAAGGCGACGAUCAGUAGCNGGUCUGAGAGGAUGAUCAGCCACACUGGGACUGAGACACGGCCCAGACUCCUACGGGAGGCAGCAGUGGGGAAUAUUGGACAAUGGGCGCAAGCCUGAUCCAGCCAUGCCGCGUGAGUGAUGAAGGCCUUAGGGUCGUAAAGCUCUUUUGUGCGGGAAGAUAAUGACGGUACCGCAAGAAUAAGCCCCGGCUAACUUCGUGCCAGCCGCCGCCGU
RNAcentral lists this ribosomal RNA (449 nucleotides) under uncultured bacterium. RNAcentral describes it as "bacterial SSU rRNA". It matches the Rfam family "Bacterial small subunit ribosomal RNA", at positions 29 to 521 of the family's 1533-position model. The record is from RNAcentral.